Molecule: long non-coding RNA, 5008 nt
Filed under: Marmota monax (woodchuck)
Lineage: Eukaryota; Metazoa; Chordata; Mammalia; Rodentia; Sciuridae
Source: RNAcentral
CUGGCGCUACACUUACUCCUGACCUGGGGUGCACCUGGCAGUGUACAGAGGUCACUUUGUGACCAUUUUUUGAGCCCUGUGUUCAUGACUCAUGCNCGUUUGAUUCCCAGCAUCACAUAUAAAUAAGCAAAUAAAAUAAGGAACCAUCAACAACUAAAAUAAAUAUAUAUGCUUUAUGGUAAAUAACUCAGUUUUUUUAGAUUCCACUGUUUAAGCAUCCUUUAAUACAUUAUUAGCACAAAUUUAAGAACUUCCUCAGGAUCCCAAAACUCCUCCAAAAUUCUGUUAGAACUAAUAUACAAAUUUGGCAAAGUAGCAGGUUACAAAAUAAACAUACUUUCCUAUAAAACCAAUAGCUUGCUUAUAUACCAACAAUGAAUCUGCUGAGAAAAAAUCAGGAAAACAGUUCCAUUCACAAUAGCCUCAAAAAAAAAAUAUAUACCUAGGAAUAAAUCUAACUAAGAAGGUGAAAGACCUCUGCAAUUAAACUAUACAACACUAAAGAAAAAAAAUUGAAGAAGAUCUCAGAAGAUGAGAUCUCCCAUGUUCACGGAUAGCCAGAAGUAAUGUCGUUAAAAUGGCCAUACUACCAAAAGCAAUAUACAGAUUUGAUGUAAUCCCCAUCAAAAUACCAAUAACAUUCUUCACAAAAUUAGAAAAAAACAGUCUUAAAAUUUAUUGGGAAAAAUUAAAGACCCAGAAUAGUCAAAUCAAUUCUAAGCCAAAAAAGCAUUGCUGGGGGUAUCACAAUACCUGACUUCAAAUUAUACCACAGAGCUAUCCUAACAAGAACUGAUUGAUACUGGCACAGAGACAGGAGGAUCACCAGUUCAGAGCCAGCCUCAGCAAUGGCAAGGCACUAAGCAACUCAGUGAGACCCUGUCUCUAAAUAAAACACAAAAUAGGGCUGGGGAUGUGGCUCAGUAGUCGAGUGCCCCUGAGUUCAAUUCCUGCUAACAACAACAACAACAACAAAAAAGUACACAUAGACCAGUCCAGUGGUUCAGAAUAGAAGAAACAAAGACAAACCCACACAUCUACAGUCAUCUGAUCCUUGAUAAAGGUGCCAAAAACAUGCACUGGAGAAAGAACAACCUCUUUAACAAAUGGUGCGGGGAACACUGUUAUUCAUAUGUAGAAGAAUGAAACUAGAUUCUUUAUCUCUUGCCUGCACAAAAAUCAACUCAAAAUGAAUCAAAGACCGCGGAUUUAAGUCAGAAACCAUGCAACUCCUAGAAGAAAACAGGGCAACACUCCAGCAUAUACGCCCAGGCAACGACCUUCUCUUUAGGACACCUAAAGCUCAGGAAAUAAGGCCCAGAGUUGUUAAAUGAUAUGACAUCAAAUUAAAAAGCUUCUGCACAGCAAAGGAAACAAGAUUGUGAAGAGAGAACCUACAGAAUGGGAGAAAAUCUUUACUAACUUCACUUCUGACAGAAGAUUAAUAGCUAGAAUGUAUAAAGACCUCAAAAAACUUUACACAAAAAAAAAACUCCAAUAAAUUUGGCAAAUGAAUUAUACAGACACUUCUCAAAAGAAGAAAAACAAAUGGCCAGAUAUAUGAAAAAAAAAUGUUCAACAUCAUUAGCCAUUAGGGAAAUGCAAAUUAAAAACUACACUGAGAUUUCAUCUCAUCCCAGUCAGAAUGGCAGCCAUCAAGAAUACAAAUAAUAAAUACGGAGAGAAUGUGGAGGAAAAAAAACCCUUUUACACUGUUGGUGGGACUGUAAAUUACAACCACCACUAUGGAAAUCAGCACGGAGGUUCCUCAAACACAGGGCAUGGAACCACCCCCUGGCCCAGCUUCCCCUCUCCUGGUACUGACCCCAGAGAGUCAACGUCAUCAUACCACAGUGGUCUGUACACACCGUGUUGACAGCAGCAAUUGUCAAACUCUGGAACCAGCCUAGGUGUCCAUCCAGAGAUGAAUGGAUAAAGAAAAUGUGGUAUAUACCACAAUGGAGUUUUAUUAGGCUGUAACGAAGAAUGAAAUUAUGUCGUUUGCAGGAAAAUAGAUGGAGAACAUAAUGUUAAGUGAAAAUAAGCCAAACUCACAAGUCAAGGGUCGUAUGUUUUCUCUCAUAUGUGGAAGCUAAAGAUGAAAAAGGAAAAGAAAGGUGAGGGUGGGUCUCAUGAAAAAGGGAGAUCAGUAGAAGAAAGGGCCCAAGGUGUGCAAGGUGGAGAGAAGGGGGGUGCUGGGGAGUGAAUAUUGGCUAAGUUACAUUGUUGUGUUGUAUUAUAUCCCACGUUAUUAACAGCUAUAAUGCACCCAUAAAAAUGUGAAAAAACCCUUCUCAGUGCAAAGUACCUUUCUUUGUUUUUGUUGUUGUUUUACAUUAAUUUAUUUAUUUCAGUUAGGUAUAUGUGAUAGCAGAAUGCAUUUUGAUUCAUUGUACACAAUUGCAGCACAACUUUUCAUUUCUCUGGUUGUACACCAUGUAGCGUCACACCACAUGUGCAGUCAUUCAUGUACCUAGGGUAAUGACGUCCAUUUCAUUCCACCAUCUUUCCUGCCCCCAUGCCCCCUCACCACCCCUUCCUUCUCUUUGCCCAAUCAAAGUUCCUCCAUUUUUCCCAUGCUCCCCCCCAUUAUGGAUCAGCAUCCACUUAUAGAGAACAUAUUUGACAUGUGGUUUUUUGGGAUUGACUUACUUCACUUAGCAUGAUAUUCUUCAACUCCACCCAUUUACCUGCAAAUACCAUAAUUUUUUUCUCUCUUUUAAUACUCAGUAAUAUUCCAUUGUGUAUAUAUACCACAGUUUCUUUAUCCAUUCAUCUACUGAAGGGCAUCUAGGUUGGUUCCACAGUUUAGCUAUUGAGAAUUGUGCUGCUGUAAACAUUGAUGUGGCUGUGUCCCUGUAGCAUGCUGUUUUUAAAUCUUUUGGGUAUAAACUGAGGAGUGGGAUAGCUGGGUCAAACUGUGGUUCCAUUCCCAGUUUUCCAAGGAAUCUUCAUACUGCUUUCCAUGUUGUCUGCACCAAUUUGCAGUCCUACCAGCAGUGUAUGAGUGUUCUUUUCCCCACAUCCUCACCAACACUUUAUUGUUGUCUAUGUUCUUGAUAACUGCCAUUCUGACUGGAGUGAGAUGAAAUCUUAGAGUAGUUUUGAUUUGCAUUUCUCUAAUUUGUUGUGUUUUAGUAUUGGUAUUAUUUUCUUUCUUCCACCUUAUACUGAGUUUUCUAAAAUGGUAAUACUCCAAGAGAAUACCCAUCCCCCCCUUCCUCAUGCCGUUUCCUUUUUUAGCCACAGGUUGGUAACAGCUGUUGACCGCUGGGUUCACUGUACCUCCCAUUCUACUGCUGAGAUGACAGCAAGGAGCCCUGGGCCUCCUGUUUCUAGUAUGCUUUCCACUUCCUUUGCAGCAGUUUGGCUAAUGAGUGAACACAGCAGAGUUCAUUUGGGGGAAUCACCAAUGCUCUAACUAUAGAAAAGAUCUGGAAGUAAUUGUUCUAGUGUCAGGCUUCAGACAUUCAUGCCUGGAGGUGUCCAAGUGGGGGGCACCCACUUCAUAAAGGGAACGAAUAAUAAAUUCUGUUACUCUGUGUUUCUUAAUGCACAUUCUGUCCUCACCUGUUAUUUAAAUGUGCCCCAAAGCUCAUGGGUUAGACACUUGAAACCCCAAAGCGAGGGUGCGGGGAGGUCGGGCCCGGUGAGAGCACUGAUGUCUCUUAGCUCCGGGGCGGGCUCUCUGCUAUGGGCCAGCAGUGCCAAGGCCCUCCCCAGAUGCCACUGUCCUGCUUUAGAGUUCCCAGCUCUAGAGCUGGAGCUGGGCAAAUGGCCCCACUUGGGCUUUCUGCUCUAGCUGUGAGAACAGACCUAAGACAGUGAUAUCAUUCAUGAUCUGCACAUUUGCAAAGGCAAAGAGGCCUGGUCUUUGCCUCAGCUCCUGGGGUGGGCUUGCAGCCCUUGGAAUGUGCUUUCUGGUCAGAGUGCCUUUGUCUUUCCAGGGACGGGGGACCACCUUCAUCACCUAGCAGUGCGAGGGCUGGAGAAUAAGGGCAUGAGCCCACCCAGUGAGGAGUGGACCUGGAGGUGUGGGUGAGGUGCCCUGAAGCCUGCACUCCUGGGGCUCAUGUGGUCUGUCUCCUUACUGCAAUAAGCCACAGUGUGAACAUGGCACUUUCACUGAGUCAUAUGAGACCUUUUGGUGGAUCAUUGAACCCGAAGGUGGUCUUGGAGACAACAAAAUGGCCUUGGCACUACCAAACUCUGUUCGGGUAUGAAAGAAAAGGUUGGCACCUUUAUCAAGUUAAUCUAGGUUAUGUUAGCAAAUUGAUUAUCUAUUUGCUUCCCAAAGCUCUAGGAAAAGGUAAUAUUUUUAUUUUUUUAUUUUAUUUUUUUUGAGAGACAGAGAGAGAAUUUUUUAAAUAUUUAUUUAUAUUUUUUUUUAGUUUUCGGCAGAUACAACAUUUUUGUUUGUAUGUGGUGCUGAGGAUCGAACCCGGGCCGCACGCAUGCCAGUGAGCGCGCUACCACUUGAGCCACAUCCCCAGACCAGAGGUAAUAUUUUUAAUGGUGUAUAUCUUAGUUGAUUUGUGCUGCUAUAACAAAAUACUUACAGAUGAGAAAUUCAUAGCAAUAGAAAUUUAUUUCUCACCAUUCUAGAGGCUGGAAGCCCAAGAUCAAGGCAGCAGAUUCAGCAUCUGGGGAGGGUCUUCUGAGAUUCUGCUAGGAACCCUGUUGCUGUAGCCUCGUGUUGCAGAAGGACUAGAGGACAAAAAAGGACCUAGCUAGUUUCCUCUAGAUUUUUUGGGAUCCAUUCAUGAGGGCUCUCCUCUCAUGACCCAGUCUCCUCAGCCCACCUCUUAAUACUAUCCCAUUAGUGAUUAAGUUUCCAUGUAAAUUUUAGGGGGACACAUUUAAAGUAAACGUAAGGCCAUUUAUGUCAAAAAUAAAUGGUGGCCAGAUUUCACCUACUCUGACUGUGAGUUCUGUAUCUGUUUUCUUCCCUUGGGUUAUAUUGUUCAUGCCUUCCUCGUUUAUUGGCCACAUCAAAAAUUGUUGCAGG